Molecule: small RNA, 38 nt
Filed under: Arabidopsis thaliana (thale cress)
Lineage: Eukaryota; Viridiplantae; Streptophyta; Magnoliopsida; Brassicales; Brassicaceae
Description: ATSL084600
Source: RNAcentral
GUGCUUACUCUAAUGUCUUUUGCUUUUUAUGUUUGUUU